RNAcentral lists this long non-coding RNA (10909 nucleotides) under Mytilus galloprovincialis (Mediterranean mussel). The record is from RNAcentral. Lineage: Eukaryota; Metazoa; Mollusca; Bivalvia; Mytilida; Mytilidae.
GAACACAAUACACAACAUAGAAAACUAAAGACUUAGAAAAACAAACACCACCAAAAACUGGGGGUGAUCUAAGGUGCUGAGGAGGAAUAAGCAGAUCCUGCUCCACAUCUGGCACCCGUCGUAUAUUUUGAAAGUGUUACUCGAGUAAUACAAGCUGUUCAUAUCAUUCCUUUAGAUACUAUAUAUCAUUUUCAAUAACAAAUGCACUUUGCAGUCAGAAGCAUUUCAUUGAAAUAACUGAAAUAAAAAACAAGAGUCAUGUUUGUAGAAAUUCAACAGGUUUACAGAAACAACUGGCAGGCGUAUAAUUAUUACUUUAGUAUCUGUCAUAUUUUUUUUUAAAACAUAAUUCCUGCUCAUUGGUCAAAGACAACUACGAUUUUUACGGGCUGUAUUCAAAAGAGACUACACGAUAUUACCCUUAGAGAUUUUACAACCAAUGGAAAUUAGACAUACAUGCAUAGUAGUGAUUUACUAAUCAACGAACCAGUUUGAAAUUUCUACCGUUUAUUAAAUCAUUGUUGGUAAGUACUAUUUGUGAAUAAAACCAGUAACAGUUCACGACAGGCUAACAAAAUAUUUGAAAACGCAAGUAAAAAUAUUGAAACUCUUAUUUACAUAACUUGACAACAGUAUCGAAGCUAUAUCCCUUGUUUAUAAGUCUGUCUAAAGUUUGGUUAGCUUUCGAUGUGAAUGACAAAAUGUGUGUGCUUGGAUGAAAUUUUAUCCAUUGAAGAUGAAAACAUGAAAUACUUGAAAGCAUGUCUGCACGUUGAUUCAUAUAUAUUAUAUAAUUGAGAAUGGAAAUGGGGAAUGUGCCAAAGAGACAACAACCCGACCAUAGGAAAAAACAACAGCAGAAGGUCACCAACAGGUCUUCAAUGUAGCCAGAAAUUCCCGCAACCGGAGGCGUCAUUAGCAUAUUUACCUGACAAUAUCUAGAUAUUAGUAUUUUGUCAUAUCUAAACAGGGAUUUGUGAUAACUUUAAAAUUUUCAAGAUGGAUUUUAAUGUGAAUAAAGUCUGAAUGUUUAGGCUUUAAAUACAUAUUUAAAGGUAAGUUGAUGCAAGAAUAGUAUGUCACAUUUUGUCUUACACUGUUAGAGAUUUAUAAUGUUUAAUCAAUGUGUAGAGGUGUUAAUUAUGAGCUAUUCAAAUCAUGUAGUUCGUGCAUUUUUCGGAGUAGAUUUAAAAAUAAUUCAAACAAAUAUACUUGACUGUAGGUAAGCAUUCAUUAGCUGUAACUAUCCUAUAGAUUAACAACUGUCGGUUAUAAUGAUUAUUUAAAAUCGUCAUUGAAGGUGGAGCACGCAUUGGUGUUAAUUAAUUCUUUUCAUUUGUUGUCAUUUGUAUGCAAGAGUUACAUUCCUUUUUACUAUGUCCAAUUAAUAAAAAAGUCAACUUGGAAAAUCAUGUGUUGCUUUAAUAUGGUGUAAACAAUUUUGUCAGAAUGAAAUAAAGCAGACAUACAAUGAACAUGUAAAUGUUAUUUUUAAGCCACUCAUUAAUAUAUAUUGAAAAAUAAUCAUUGAUGAAAGAUUUAAGCAAAAAAAUAACAGGUGAGCGAUUCAGGCUCUUGAGAGCCUUUGUUUAUAGAUAGAAAACAUCUUUCAAAUUCUAUUUGUAAGGAGUAAAUAAUAAUAAAAAAACAAACAUUGGCGACGUUACGGGCACAUGAUAAAAAUAUACCUGAACUGAUAGACUAAACAAUUUCAAGCGCUCAGAAUAUGUGUUACAUCCAAAACUAAUAUAGAUGAAUGUAGGAUGCUUUAUACAUUAUUGUGUAGAAUAGUAAAGAAAUGGUACUUCUACUGAUUUAAUUCAGGACUAUUUUGUAGCGCUUUCGACGUUAACACGUAUGUGUAUAUAACAUGUCGGCUGUCAACAUCUAUAUUUAGUUAUAUUGCAUGCACAUUUUUCAGGCUGAUUAAAAUCGUAUAAAGUAAUUCGUUGCAGUAGUAUCAAUUAAUACUUUAUCCUUGGACAUAAUGGUAAAUUUCUUUUUUUCAAUUUAGCAUUUUUGUCAAGUCAUUUUUUAUCAGUUUUUAAGGGGGAAAAUAACAGUCUACUAAUAAAGAGAAUGCUAAUGUUUGCUGCUCAUGAAAUAAUAUAGAUAUUUUGUUUUUCAUAGACAAUCAUCGUACAUCAACUAUUCCUCCUAAUGGUUAUAUCUGUAAUGAAGAUCUUGAGUCUGGUUUACAAACACCCUUCAGAAAACUCCCUCUUAUCAACUUGAACAAUGCGUUAUUUAUAACUAUGCUAACUGAAAUAAAGAACAAAUGGUUGUUUCGAUGGAUAUAUCAUUCAAACUUAGAAUUUUUGUCUUGGAUAAUACAGCUUUUACAAUUGUUUAUGAUAUUUACACGGACAAACAUCAUCGUCGACAAAACAUACCUUGAAUCAUCUUUGUCUGGCAGUCCUUGACGAUCCACGCUGACAAUCCUAUGAUGUCAUACGCAUUAAUAAUAGAAAAAGCUGUGAAUUAUAUCAUAAAAUUGAGAAUGUCACAGGGGAUUAUCUUAUGGUUAUAACAUCUAAACUGAUAACGCAUGCUUAGACAUUUUCCGCGUAAAUGUGUGAAACUGCGCUCUAGAUAAGAAAUGGAUCGGAUGUCAGUGAACUUCAACUGUUUCUUUCUUUUUUUUCAUAUAUGUUAUCCGUAAUUUAUUUGCAAUAUAUUGCUUUAUAUCUUGAGAAUGCAGUUUAAUUUGAAAAAAAUAACAAUGCCUUUUUUUUUGUUUUUUAAAAAUAAACUCACAAACAGUUUUACACUUAUAUUCCCUAGCUAACAACAGUUGAAGCAUUAAAAUCAAAGCACACUGCAAUUCUUAGCAGAUUUGUCAAAUAGUCAAUUUUUGAACAACUUGUAUUUAGAAGAAUUCAGUAGACUCUAUAUUGACUUAGACGUGGCGCUGAACUUAUACAUUACGUCAUUGUUAUAUCGUUCCAUGCUAAGUUCUGUAUUUUUGUGUUUCACUUUUGUUAAUAGGCCUUUUUGUAUUUCUUUCUUACAUAUGACGUGACUCUGUACUUAUACAUCCCGUCAUUGUAUUAUUGUUUGUUAAUAAAUUUGUUUGUUUUAUAUAUAUUAUAUGCAUUAAGAUGAUAAACCAAUAUUGACUGCUGUGCCCCUUUUUUUGACAUUUUUACCUAUUAUGUCUGUUUGUUCUGUUUUUGCACACAUCUUGUCAAUAAAUAUAUAACGGAUGUUAAUGCGACUGUCGUACAAGGGAAAGGUUUAUCUAGCUUUAAAACCAGGGUUAAUCUACAGAAGAAAAUGCCUGUACCAAGUGAGAAAUAUGACAGUUAUUGUCCAUUCGUUUGAUAAGUUUUAGCUUUUGAUUUUCCAAUUUUAUUAUUAAGUACUUUCCGUUUUUCUAUUUUCGACGGAUCUCAGUUUAAUUUUUUUUUUUUUUUUUGUGCUUUUACUUUUUGAUACAUAAUUAGGAAAGCUGCAAUAUUAUUAACAUGUGCACGAGAAUUUUUGUUUUAUAUUUGCUAUAAUAAUGUAUUAAGAGAAUGGUAUUAAAUAAACUCAUUAUAGAUACCAGGACUAAAAAUUUUACAUACGCCAGACGCGCGUUCCGUCUACAAAAGAAUUAUCAGUGACGCUCGAAUUAAAAAACAAAAAAAAAGAGAAAAAGAAAAAAGCCAAAUAAAGAACGAUGAUGAAGAGUUUAACUGUACCUCAUUUUGUUUUGGUGGUUUCUAUUUUUCUUUUAAUGUUCCAUUGUUGUCCAUAUUGUGUUUCCCCUUAUUUCCUGUUUUUUGUUAAAACCUAUGAAUUUAUUUGUUUUUUAAUUAUCUGUCUUUUAAUGACUUUGAAAUUGAUGAUAUUUUCAAUUUGAAAUGCAAACUAGUCGUAGAUGCUAACUUGAAUAUACACAGGUAUAACCAACGUAUGGUCGAUUCCGGACGUUCUGUGUUGUGUAUCGUUCUUUUUAAUUUCUAUUCGUCCGUUAUGUGUUCGUCACAGUUCUGUCCCGUUCAUAAGUAAAUCAUCGAGAACAAAAUAAGCUGUUUAUUUUGAAAUACCUAUCGUUUAUGUUUUUGUUAGCAAGCGUUUGAAACUACAAAACCUAUUCGACAUUUCAUCUUGAAUGCAAACACAAUCUGGAUUGUUUUUGUUUGACAUGAAAGAGAACUUAUACUGGCGCCAAAGAAGCCCAAUCAGCGCCUGAUUCAUGUGCUUGCAAUACAGUUUCUUAAAAAUCUAUUAUUUUGAUCUGGAAGUCAACUGCUUAGCUCAUACGAAGAGCAGGGUGGUGUGCUCACAUUGCAUUAAGGUGAUACACGUUCAUAUCAUGCAUAUUUUAAACUUUGUUAAUUAGUUUGCUACAAGUGUGUCAUGGAUCCGAUGUGUUAGUGUGAUUCAAACGUAAACUAAACACAAUUACGUUCCCUUUGAUAAAAAUCAAUGUUUACAUGUAGCUUAAAUCAUGUUUUGUCUACAUGCAGUAAAAAAAUUAAAAAAAAAACAAACAGAUAGAACGAAGCCGGGCUAGUUUAUUUUAAAGAUUCAUGUAAAAUACACCCACCUACAAUGAACUUUGGAAUUGUCACCUAAUUAUUCCAACAUAAGAAAGUAUCGAUCCGAUCUUUACUUAUAACUGGGUUUGUACUAAGAUGAUCAACUCAACAGGUGAAAAUGUGAAGCAGGAUAUGCUUACUCUUCUAGAGGACAUAAGAUCACCCCAAAUGGGUUGUUUUCGUGUUGCUCAGUGUUUAUUGAUCUAUGUUAUGUUGUGUGUACUAUUGUUUGUUAGUUUGUCUUUUUCGAUUUUAGCCAUGGAUUUGACCUUUUUUGUAUGGUGAGUUUGAAUGUCUCUUAGAUAUCUUUUCCUAUUUUGUAUAACCGGAUAUACAGAUGGCACAUAUUCACAUAAGAAUAUCGUUUGCAGUAAUGCAUUGACUACUUAUAAUCUCAGCCUUUAUUUCUUUUGACCAUGCUAUUACUCAUCAGAGAAUUAACUCAUUGUUGCGAUUAGUUUCGUGCAGCGAGAGCAUACACAUGUUCAAAUUAACGAUUAUAUUGAGGAAAAUAUAAAGCAAAAAUGGUAAUUCUUUUUUUACAGUUGCUUAACGGACGGAUGGAUUUAAGUUAUAUGUAACCAACACAUCAAUUAUUCAACAUGUUGGGUAUCUAUGUUAUGAAGAUUCUGAUCCUGGUCUCCCAAACAUCAAUCAAAAUAUUCCGUGUUAUAAAUUUGGAAAAUACGUUAUAUACUACGAUACUACAGGCGAUGACUUCGUUGGACCUGUUGUUGAACGGUGCUACGUUGCUAUAAAUGGUGAGAUAACGUUUGAAUACACAAUGUGUAUUUGUAUAUCUCAUUAUUACAGAACUCGACACAAGGAAGUAUUUGUACAAUUUGAGAUCGGUUUUAUUUGUUUUUGGCUUUUGAGAUUGAUUAUGAAUUUUUACUCUAGCAAACCAACUUAUACACUUGGUAUCUUUAUUCAGGUUUGUUUUUAAUUUUCCUUAGAAUAUAAGCUUUAUUAGAUAUGCCAUUGUAUGCGAUGUUCUCCUAUAAAAUUUCAAACUCGCAUUCGUUUUUCAGUCAGUUUACAUGUCUUAAAAUACAUGCAAUUAUAUCUUAUCUUAUAAAGUAUAAUUUACACUACAUUUCGGAAUCAGAAUUGGCUGAAAUAAGGUUGUUUUCUUUGGUAGGGCAAUAUGAUUGCAUACAUUUGUUUGCUUCGACAUUACAAUCAUUACUGGAACGGCUUUCUUUGUUAAACCUAUUCAGAAUAAAAGAAAAAAGUAACUUCCCGUUAAAUAUGAAAAUACAAAUAACUAUGAAAAGGUUGAACCUAAAACAUUUUAUUUGUUGUAAUCAUGAACAUAAUAAGAAUGUUACGGUUUUAUAUUUUGGAAGAAGGCGUUAAUCAAUCAAAAUAUGGACAGAAGAAGUUUAGAUCACACAUUUGUCUUUAGUAUAACAGAACUAUAGCUACUGUAAUACAAGAAUGAGUUUAAUCUCAGUAUAAAACCAGGUUUUAAUCACCAUGAAAAAAAGUCUGUACAGAGUCAGGAUUAUGACAAUUUUUCCCAGUUUGUUCCGUUGAAUUAUCACGUUUGAGCUUAUUAUCAUAGACUUCUUGUUGAUCGUUGAUUUCUACAUUUCUUUUAGUUAAACAGUUUCUAACAUUGUAGGAUGCCCAAAAGGUAUGUGGGGACCUAACUGUACAGAAGCAUGUUCAUCUAUAUGUUUAAACCAACAAUGUCAUCCUGAAAAUGGUUCCUGCAUUUGGGGAUGUGAUCCCCAAAGAUGUGUUAAAGGAAGAUGUGAUACACAUACGGGUUUUUGUACUGAGGGUUGUGUAACGGGAUGGGUUGGACAAUACGGUACCUGUGGCAAAUGUACGUAUUUUUUUUUUAAAGUAUCUUUAAUUUGUAAAAUGUAUGUUUGAAAAUAAACGAAGAAUAUUGUUUAUUCUAGAUACACAUGAGUAUCAAAGAAAGAAUUGGUAUUUAUAUUUUGUCAUGCACUCGAAAUAAUUUUCUACAUUUGAUUAAACAAUAACAUCAUCAAUAUAUUUGUAUAUAGGAUUUAGAGAUAUUAAACUUAAACUUGUAAACGCGUCAUUAAUUGUUAAUUAAUUUUUUCGCUUUUUUAUUCGUUUAAUCAUGUCUUUUGGAUGCCGAUAAAUUUAUCUCCCUUUGUACACAGUAUUUCUGUAAUAAAAAAUAUUUGAACACAAGUGGAUAGGUUACUCUUCACUACAAUAGUAAUUUGUUUUUAAUUAUUAUUAGAUGUUUGAUAUUUACACUAUGAUCUCAAAUUUUCUUUCUUUUGUUUUUUUUUUAUUUUUAUGUUUGUUUUUCAUUUUGACACAGUAUUACUUAUUGUAUGGAAACUAUGAUGUCUUUAGGAUACAGCAGGAAAUUAAUGCAGACAAGGUAGAGGAGGUCAGACAUUUCAGAGUUACAUUAUCACUUACUUAUAUAAAACACUAUGGGAGAAUACGGUCUCAAUACUCUUAUCAAAUCUCAAGUAUUUAUUAUUCAGCUAUAAAAAUAAAAUUGAAUAAAUGAGUGAUAGUGGUAUAAAACUUGUUUCAUACAACUGUCAAGGUUUAAAUUCAAAGGAGAAGAGGAGAGAUGUUUUUGAUUAUUUUAAAGCAAAAAAUUGCCACUUAUAUUGUUUACAAGAUACACAUUUUUCAGAAAAAGAAGAAAUAUCAAUAAAAAAUCUAUGGGGAGGAGACUGUAUUUUCAAUUCAGCAAAGUAAGAUCUACAAAUAAGUCAACAUAAUCAAAAUGGUUAGUUGACCCCUUUAGGAGUUAUUGCCCUUUAUAGUCAUUUUUUACCAAUUUUUCGUAAAUUUUGUAGUCUUUUACAAAAAUCUUCUCCUCUGAAACUACUAGACCAAAUUUUACCAAACUUAGCCAUAAUCAUCAUUGGAGUAUCUAGUUUUAAAAAUGUGUCCGGUGACCCAGCCAACCAACCAAGAUGGCCGCUAUGGCUAAAAAUAGAACAUAUGGGUAAAAUGUAGAUUUUGGCUUAUAACUCUGAAACCAAAGCAUUUAGAGCAAAUCUGAAAGUGGUUAAAUUGUUUAACUAGUCAAUAUUUAUCUGCUCUGAAAUUCUCAGAGGAAUUGGACAAUGGGUUGUUGGGUUGCUGCCUCACAAUUGGUAACUUUUAAAGAAAUUUUGCUGUUUUUGGUUAUUAUCUUGAAUAUUAGUAUAGAUAGAGAUAAACUGUCCAGAGCAAUAAUGUUCAGCCAAGUAAGAUCUACACAAAUAUGUCUACAUGACCUAAAUGGUCUGAAAGUGGUUAAAUUGUUUAACUAGUCAAUAUUUAUUUGCUCUGAAAUUCUCAGAGGAAUUGGACAAUGGGUGUUGGGUUGCUGCCCCACAAUUGGUAACUUUUAAAGAAAUUUUGCUGUUUUUGGUUAUUAUCUUGAAUAUUAGUAUAGAUAGAGAUAAACUGUCCAGAGCAAUAAUGUUCAGCAAAGUAAGAUCUACACAAAUAUGUCUACAUGACCUAAAUGGUCAGUUGACCCCCCCCCCCCCUCAAAGAGUUAUUGCCCUUUAUAGUCAAUUUUUAACAAUUUUUUCAAAGAAUCUUUUCAACGAUGAAUGAUAUCGAUAGUGUAUCUUCAUUCAUAUCAAAGGUGUCAUAAAUCCAUUCCAAUCGAGACUUAUAUUGAUAUCAUCACAGAUAAGUGAUACAGCACGAUUGUCGUUGAUUGUAUUGCAUAUACAAUUUCUCUGUAUUCAUUAAUAAAAAAAAAAAAUUCUUCUAUUACAGUCUGUGUCCCUUUUUCCCAGAAACAACAGGAUAAAGGAAUAAUAAAUGUAUUUAGGACAAGCGACUGGCAAGGUGCCGCACUUCCUUCAACAAAGCUGAUAGUGGAUCUUAUAAAAAGUGUAGUUAGUUGUUGGCAAUCACUGACAUGUCCUAUCACAGUCGUAUGCAGGUACAUAAAUUUAAGAUAUCAAAAGAUACUCAAUUCCACAAUCAGAUUUAACGUACAUGUAACAUACACAAUAUUUUACGCCAAAAAUACGAGAACUCCACAUGUCAAAGAAAAAACACUUUUUGCGUCGAUUCUGUAAUAUUUGCUAUACAAGCAUCACAUGUAAAGCGAUACUAAAGUAUAUAUUAAAUUGUCACUUGGAGGAGAUGGAACCGAUGAUAAUGUCCUAUGCGGAAUUUUAAACUAAUUCGAAUUUCUGUAACAAACCAGAAAACAAUAAUUUUGUAAUUAUCAUACAAUAUGUGAUUGUGAAAUGAUAAGUGCAGUCACUUUUUUCUAAAUUCUUAAUUAUAUGUUUGCAAGUUAUAAGUUUUUAACACUGUUAGAAAAUAAAAAGGACGUAUUGUAAAUUAUUGUCGAUAUUAUAAUGAUUAUAUUUUAAUUUAUGUAUCAUUUUGAAAUUUCGUUGUUCCAUUGCCUUUAUGGCUUGAUAGUCAUCAGUCAAUAAUAUUGCUUUCAUUACAUGCACUUUCACAUUUUAAAGAGGAAUAUGAAUAUAAAGGAGAAAACAUCACAAAAUGUGACAUACUAGUAGAAAAGAGGUCGAUAAUCUCUAGUUAUGAAUAAUACUUAAACUAAAUAACCGUAACUUUAGAUUUUUUCACAUUGGUAGAAAAAAAUCUCUAAAAACUAGCGUAGGGGUUUAUCAUGUUUAUACUCUAAACGUAACUUGUACUGAAUCAGUUUUAAUACUAAAUUAUCUAUAACUUUUUUGUAACAUUUUUUAGAGACGGGUGCACCAAAAGUGGGUUAUUUAUAGCACUUUAUUUACUUUUGGAUAAAUUGAAAAUAGAUGAAGAGGUCGAUGUCUUUCAAGUUGUAAGAAAUAUUCAAACCAGAUGCCCAGAAUUCUUGAAGAGCUGUGUAAGUAUAUGUUCGACACAUUAUCAUGCAAAGUUUAAUUCACUCAUCCAAAAACCGUUUGUUCCAAAAAUGAGGUUGUUUAAAAAAUGAUCAAAAGGUAGUACAUUUAUGGAAAAACGUCCAGUUUCAAUGUAUAUUUCGGUAAAAUAUAGUCAUCGCAUUGUUCGUCUAUUAUUCCCAUUGUCAUCUCUGUCGCCCGUUUGUCUGAAUCAAACGUUGUAUGGAGGGUAAUGUGUGUAAGAAUGCAUUGAUCAAAAUCAAACUAAUUAUAUAUAUAUAAUACAGAUUAAAAUCUAAAGCACGGGAAAUAAGUAUAUCGAUACUUGUGACCAAUAUGUACAAAUUUAAGGUACUUUAUAGGAAAGGGUUUCUAUAUGUUCUCAUUGAUAGAGUAAAAUCGCACUUAUACAGAUGAGAGAUAAAGUAGAAUGAUGCUUAAAAUAGACAUAAGUAGGAUGUGGUUAAUCGUCUAAUAGUUAAAAUUAACAAGUCACUGAUACUAGAAAUAGUAUUUAACUGAAAUUGUUUCCUGGAUCGAAACUUGAGGUCUCUAGUUUAAUUAGAACGAAACAUAAAUAUUCAAUACUCCAUAUCUCUGUUACAUAAAAAUAUUUACUUUUGGAUAAAAAGCUAGUUGCAUUGAAAUGUAAAACAGAGACAAAAUAUGCCAAAAGGAUAAUCAAACUCAUAAGUCGAAAACAAUCUGACAGUACCAUGGCCAAAAACAAAAUAAUUACCAAAAGACAAAUGACAGUUUAAAACAGAACACAACAUGUUAACUGCGUUUGCUUUGUUUUUAGCAAUGGUCAUAUUUUUUUUAUAGCUGGCAUAUAAGCGAGUGUUAAAAUUAAAAAAAAUGCAAAACUUAAUAAGAAUGGAAGAUUUAAAAAAGAAUCUUUUUUUUUUUUUUUUUUUGUAUAAGGGUCUUUCGAGAAAGUAUUUGUACGAAUUGUGGUUUCAAAAUACAUGAGUUAUGUGCAUCUGUUUGAAAUGAAAACUUUUCACGUGUUAAUUAUCAUAUAUAUAUCCAAGUGAAAGGGAAAGGAUUGACUGUAAUAGCAUUAAUUAUGAUACAUUCACUACCAAAGUGGACAACAAUGUAAACUACAGAUUAGAGUAUAAUAGACAAAAAAAACUUAUAAAAUUAUAUCAAUUUAACAUCAGUAUAAACAAAUAAAAUGAUUUAAGAAAAGAUAAUUUGGAAAGAAAGAUAUAUAUUUUUCAAACCUUAAAUACGUGAAUGAAAAGUAAAAUAAUAAAUUCGUAUGUAAAGUUUCUCAGAUCUUAUCUUUACUGUUGGUGCAACGUUGUUGUUACUUGCAAAUUCACCUUUUUUAUUCUUUUGUUUACAGGAGCAGUAUGAAUAUUGCUACCAGUGUAUCAAAGAACUACUGGAAGGAGAGUCAAUCUAAAUAAUGGUCAUUGCUCUAGUUUCUUUAAUAUAGAAAAAGGGGUCCGUCAAGGGGAUUCUUUAUCCCCUUACCUUUUUAUACUAAAAAAUGUUCAACAACUUAACACCGUGCCAUGAAAAUAAACACAUGAAAGUAUUGAAAUUUGC